Molecule: ribosomal RNA, 431 nt
Filed under: uncultured bacterium
Lineage: Bacteria
Description: partial 16S ribosomal RNA
Rfam family: Bacterial small subunit ribosomal RNA
Source: RNAcentral
CCUACGGGGGGCAGCAGUGAGGAAUAUUGGUCAAUGGGCGCAAGCCUGAACCAGCCAUGCCGCGUGCAGGAUGAAGAUCUAUGGUGUGUAAACUGCUUUUGUACGAGAAGCGGUAUCGUAAGAAUAAGGACCGGCUAACUCCGUGCCAGCAGCCGCGGUAAUACGGAGGGUCCAAGCGUUAUCCGGAAUCAUUGGGUUUAAAGGGUCCGUAGGCGGUUUAGGAAGUCAGUGGUGAAAGCCCAUCGCUCAACGGUGGAACGGCCAUUGAUACUGCUAAACUUGAAUUAUUGUGAAGUAACUAGAAUAUGUAGUGUAGCGGUGAAAUGCUUAGAGAUUACAUGGAAUACCAAUUGCGAAGGCAGGUUACUAAAAAUAUUGACGCUGAUGGACGAAAGCGUGGGUAGCGAACAGGAUUAGAUACCCGAGUAGUC